AUGCCAUGUUGAAUAAAAACUCAUUAACAAUAGGUUUUAGAUAACCAAACUUGAAGCAAUUUUUCACACAAGAGACUGGAUGCCUGGAUUAUUUUAAAAUUUAAAACAAGCUACUUGUGAGAACUUUUUCAAUAUGAUGACAAACUCGUUCUUGAUGCCCCAUGAAGGUUUAACAAGCUCAACAGGCCUGAGAUUAUAAAUAUUUCCUUAAUUUUCAGUAAAUUCUGUAUGAAUAUGGAUAAAAACCAAAAGUUUAAUUACAGAUGCAGAAAAGAGGUUCUGUAACCCAAAGCAGCCAUAGAAUCUAACAGGUACUCCUCGUGGCUCUAGCCAGAACAAUUUAAGUUGGAAUGCAGCUGUUUAUUACACAAUACUGUUGAUUCACCAAUAAACAGUUAUCGAAAUAAA
Helicoverpa zea (corn earworm) is the source of this 408-nucleotide long non-coding RNA. RefSeq lists it as uncharacterized. The record is from RefSeq and is a predicted model, not a curated record. Lineage: Eukaryota; Metazoa; Arthropoda; Insecta; Lepidoptera; Noctuidae. The transcript has 2 exons.